Molecule: long non-coding RNA, 654 nt
Organism: Hibiscus syriacus
Lineage: Eukaryota; Viridiplantae; Streptophyta; Magnoliopsida; Malvales; Malvaceae
Exons: 3
Source: RefSeq, a predicted model, not a curated record
UAAAUCUCAGUAACUCAACCCUUUCUUUUCUCUCAAAUCUCAAAUCUCAAAUCUCAAAACCACAAAUCACCUUAUUGAGUCACGAUUUCAUCUCUAACUCGGUGGCCAUGAGUACAUGACAGGUGAUAAGGUAAAAAAAUGGUUCAAGAAAUACCUCCAAAUAACACUCAAGGAACUACACGGAAGAUAAUUCUGAUGUUCCUCCAAAAGGUCCUUUAAGAGAGCAAGACAAUAUGGAGUUUGAAAAGACUUGGGAAAACUUUAAAUGAUAGACAAUAAGUGGAAGGUUUUCACAAUUUCGGUGGACAAUAUGACUGCAAAUGAUGUUUGCAUAGAAAUUUUGAAGGAUACAAUCUCAUUGACUAAGAGAUUGAUUUGUGGUAGAAAGUUAUUCCAUUUUCGUUGUUGUGUUAACAUUUUGAACAUUAUGGUUCAACAUAGGUUGAAAAAGUGAAAAUAAUCGUCAAGAAUGUUCAUGAUACCAUUGAUUUAAUCAAUGGUUGUGAGUAUCGGUUGAAAAAGUUUGUCGAACUUGUUGGAUGAUAAAUUAAAUACUCCCGAUGAAUUUAUUAAUGGCAUGGUUAAAAAUAUGAAAGAAAGAUUUGAUAAAUAUUGGGGUGAAUGUAAUUUACUUAUGGCUAUUGGUUGUGUGUU